Non-coding RNA from Acanthosepion pharaonis, 107 nucleotides. The record is from the annotation of a GenBank genome assembly. Lineage: Eukaryota; Metazoa; Mollusca; Cephalopoda; Sepiida; Sepiidae.
GCCAUAUCACAUUGAAACACUAGUUCCUAUAUGAUCACUGAAGUUAAGCAACAUCAAGCAUAGUCAGUACCUAGAUGGGUAACUGCUUGGAAAUAUCUGGUGCUGUA